This 497-nucleotide ribosomal RNA is filed under the name uncultured bacterium. RNAcentral describes it as "partial 16S ribosomal RNA". It matches the Rfam family "Bacterial small subunit ribosomal RNA", at positions 28 to 507 of the family's 1533-position model. The record is from RNAcentral.
GAUGAACGCUGGCGGCGUGCCUAAUACAUGCAAGUCGAGCGAACAGACGAGGAGCUUGCUCCUCUGACGUUAGCGGCGGACGGGUGAGUAACACGUGGAUAACCUACCUAUAAGACUGGGAUAACUUCGGGAAACCGGAGCUAAUACCGGAUAAUAUAUUGAACCGCAUGGUUCAAUAGUGAAAGACGGUUUUGCUGUCACUUAUAGAUGGAUCCGCGCCGCAUUAGCUAGUUGGUAAGGUAACGGCUUACCAAGGCAACGAUGCGUAGCCGACCUGAGAGGGUGAUCGGCCCCACUGGAACUGGGACACGGUCCAGACUCCUACGGGAGGCAGCAGUAGGGAAUCUUCCGCAAUGGGCGAAAGCCUGACGGAGCAACGCCGCGUGAGUGAUGAAGGUCUUCGGAUCGUAAAACUCUGUUAUUAGGGAAGAACAAAUGUGUAAGUAACUAUGCACGUCUUGACGGUACCUAAUCAGAAAGCCACGGCUAACUACGUG